Molecule: ribosomal RNA, 745 nt
Filed under: beta proteobacterium SCGC AAA206-G21
Lineage: Bacteria; Pseudomonadati; Pseudomonadota; Betaproteobacteria
Description: bacterial SSU rRNA
Rfam family: Bacterial small subunit ribosomal RNA
Source: RNAcentral
CGCUGGCGGCAUGCCUUACACAUGCAAGUCGAACGGCAGCGCGGACUUCGGUCUGGCGGCGAGUGGCGAACGGGUGAGUAAUGUAUCGGAACGUGCCCUAGAGUGGGGGAUAACGUAGCGAAAGUUACGCUAAUACCGCAUACGAUCUACGGAUGAAAGUGGGGGACCGAAAGGCCUCACGCUCAUGGGGCGGCCGAUAUCUGAUUAGCUAGUUGGUAGGGUAAAAGCCUACCAAGGCGACGAUCAGUAGCUGGUCUGAGAGGACGACCAGCCACACUGGGACUGAGACACGGCCCAGACUCCUACGGGAGGCAGCAGUGGGGAAUUUUGGACAAUGGGGGCAACCCUGAUCCAGCAAUGCCGCGUGUGUGAAGAAGGCCUUCGGGUUGUAAAGCACUUUUGUCAGGAACGAAACGGUGGGGGCUAAUAUCCUCUGCUAAUGACGGUACCUGAAGAAUAAGCACCGGCUAACUACGUGCCAGCAGCCGCGGUAAUACGUAGGGUGCGAGCGUUAAUCGGAAUUACUGGGCGUAAAGCGUGCGCAGGCGGUUGUGCAAGACAGAUGUGAAAUCCCCGGGCUUAACCUGGGAAUUGCAUUUGUGACUGCACGGCUAGAGUGUGUCAGAGGGGGGUAGAAUUCCACGUGUAGCAGUGAAAUGCGUAGAUAUGUGGAGGAAUACCGAUGGCGAAGGCAGCCCCCUGGGAUAACACUGACGCUCAUGCACGAAAGCGUGGGGAGCAAACA